RNAcentral lists this ribosomal RNA (921 nucleotides) under uncultured Bacteroidota bacterium. RNAcentral's name for it is "bacterial SSU rRNA". It matches the Rfam family "Bacterial small subunit ribosomal RNA", at positions 1 to 916 of the family's 1533-position model. The record is from RNAcentral. Lineage: Bacteria; Pseudomonadati; Bacteroidota.
UCCAGACUUUGAUCAUGGCUCAGGAUGAACGCUAGCUACAGGCUUAACACAUGCAAGUCGAGGGGAAACGAUAUUGGAAGCUUGCUUCCGAUAGGCGUCGACCGGCGCACGGGUGAGUAACGCGUAUCCAACCUGCCCACCACUUGGGGAUAACCUUGCGAAAGUAAGACUAAUACCCAAUGAUAUCUCUAGAAGACAUCUGAAAGAGAUUAAAGAUUUAUCGGUGAUGGAUGGGGAUGCGUCUGAUUAGCUUGUUGGCGGGGUAACGGCCCACCAAGGCGACGAUCAGUAGGGGUUCUGAGAGGAAGGUCCCCCACAUUGGAACUGAGACACGGUCCAAACUCCUACGGGAGGCAGCAGUGAGGAAUAUUGGUCAAUGGGCGAGAGCCUGAACCAGCCAAGUAGCGUGCAGGAUGACGGCCCUAUGGGUUGUAAACUGCUUUUAUAAGGGAAUAAAGUGGGAGUCGUGACUCCUUUUGCAUGUACCUUAUGAAUAAGGACCGGCUAAUUCCGUGCCAGCAGCCGCGGUAAUACGGAAGGUCCGGGCGUUAUCCGGAUUUAUUGGGUUUAAAGGGAGCGUAGGCCGGAGAUUAAGCGUGUUGUGAAAUGUAGACGCUCAACGUCUGCACUGCAGCGCGAACUGGUUUCCUUGAGUACGCACAAAGUGGGCGGAAUUCGUGGUGUAGCGGUGAAAUGCUUAGAUAUCACGAAGAACUCCGAUUGCGAAGGCAGCUCACUGGAGCGCAACUGACGCUGAAGCUCGAAAGUGCGGGUAUCGAACAGGAUUAGAUACCCUGGUAGUCCGCACGGUAAACGAUGGAUGCCCGCUGUUGGUCUGAAUAGGUCAGCGGCCAAGGGAAAGCAUUAAGCAUCCCACCUGGGGAGUACGCCGGCAAGGGUGCAACUCAAAUGAAUUGACGG